Erpetoichthys calabaricus (reedfish) is the source of this 631-nucleotide long non-coding RNA. RefSeq lists it as uncharacterized. The record is from RefSeq and is a predicted model, not a curated record. NCBI's taxonomy places the organism in Eukaryota, Metazoa, Chordata, Cladistia, Polypteriformes, Polypteridae. The transcript is spliced from 3 exons.
UUAGCUAAAUAGGGUCAGAGGCGGUAAACGCGAUUACACUACUACUAUUAUUGUGAGUGUUCUUCUCUCUUGAAAAUGUGAUAUAACGCCCGACAGGCACUGCCCGUCUCCAGCUGAAAACGAUCGCGAGCCGCUGCUGCCACCGAGGGGAGCCGUGCCAGUGCCGCGUGAGUGCGCGAGGAGCGGAUCACCAUGACCCUUUAAUGAAAUAAAGAGAACCAAAAAUUGAAUGAAUGAAUAGGAAGGUAAAUUUGGUUCCACUGAUCUGCUGCCAAACUGCCCUCUUGCUUACAGAAAAGUCAUCACAGACAAAGGAGCAUUGGAAUCAUCAGAUGGAAAGUUUUUUCAGUCUCUGCUAUAGAAUGCCUAGGAGGGAAAGGGCUGGUAGCUAGCCAAGUUUUUCUCUGUGUCUGACUUUGACUUUCUCUCUUACAAUUGUCUCCAUCAUCAAUCUCCUCCAUUGUCAACUGGCCAAAUUUUAACAAUUAAUUAGAACUUCAGAUAUAAUAAAAACCUAGCACAACACUAAACACUUUUCUAUAUACAAGUUUAAAUUCAAAAUGAACCAAGCUGAAAAAACUUGCUGCUCUUGAAACAGAUGCCCCGAAGUCCAGAAUUUUUCUUACCUUUG